UACAUGGGGUGCAAACGUUGCUCGGAAUUAUUGGGCGUAAAGCGCGCGUAGGCGGUUAUCUAAGUCGGAUGUGAAAGCCCUCGGCUUAACUGAGGAAGUGCACCCGAAACUGGGUAGCUAGAGUACUAAAGAGGGUCGCGGAAUUCCCGGUGUAGAGGUGAAAUUCGUAGAUAUCGGGAGGAACACCGGUGGCGAAGGCGGCGACCUGGGUAGAUACUGACGCUGAGGCGCGAAGGCGUGGGGAGCGAACGGG
Molecule: ribosomal RNA, 253 nt
Filed under: uncultured bacterium
Lineage: Bacteria
Description: partial 16S ribosomal RNA
Rfam family: Bacterial small subunit ribosomal RNA
Source: RNAcentral